GGAGUAAUUUGGUGCUUUUGUCACUGGAACAUUUUCAUAGCUCGCGUCGCGUCGCGAGUGUAGUAUACAGCUCAAUAUUCAAAGGUUCAGAGUUAUAGUGGUUGGAGAAAACUCAUCGAUUUCCAGUGUCCGCUCUGUCGUAGUAUUUAUUUGUGGCUACCGAUGCGAAUACGGAAAUGAACAGCUCACAAUACUAUCAGCUCGUCUGCCUAUACCAGCUGCUGCUGCUCGAGCUAUGCUCUUCGAAGGCAGUCUACAGGAGAGACCACGCUAAGUUCAGUUUGGGGUCGAUGUUCGACACCGGCCUCUCUUUCCUCCACCCGGCCGUGGCGGCGGGUUCUAGUCGGUGUGACAAUCUGAAAAGCUUCUUCGGACUCACCUACGAGCAGAUCCAAGAGAAAAACGCUACUGAUUUCUUCAAACAACUCACUAUAGACCUUAUCACCAACGACACAACGCUGAAAUACAACCUGACACACCACCAUUUGGGAAGGGUUCUGAACAAUGCUACCCAGAUAGUGAUCCUGAUCCAUGGAUUCCUGGAGAGCUCCGACGGCUGGAUGGUGCAGGCGGUGGCUCCAGGGUUCCUGAAGAUGAAGAACUACAUGGUGUUAGCACUAGACGCUCGGAAUGUGAUCACGAUAGACUACUUCCGGUCCUCGACCUACGCCAGGUUCAUGGGAAUGAAGUUGGGGUCAACGCUUGCGCAGAUUAUUCAAAACGGCCAAGACCCCUCCACCAUCAUGCUAGUCGGUCACAGCCUGGGCGCCCACGUGGCGGGGAUAGCCGGGCAGAGAGUCGCCGAGCUGACCGGGCGAAAGCUGGCCCGGAUCACCGGCCUAGACCCGGCUCUACCGUGCUUUCCCCCGGACAACCCGGGCGGAAGACUAGAUGCAACUGAUGCGGACUACGUCGACGUGAUACACACCAACGGAGGCAUAUUGGGAAUGAAAGAGAGUGUCACAAGGACUUCUAUCCCAACGGAGGGCUGAGUCAGCCGGGCUGCUAUCUAUCCACCUGUGAUCACAGUCGUGCCUGGGAACUGUACGCGGAGUCUAUCGGGGCACCGAAGGGAUUUCCUGCGCGAAAGUGCGAAAACUGGACGUCAUUUCGAGAAGGACAUUGCUCCAAGACUGAAGUGACAUACAUGGGAUUGAACUCCGUAAAGGGAAGCCAGGGAGCCUACUUCUUAACCACUGGACCUAAGCCCCCGUUCGGACUUGGACCGACCGGCAGUGGGUGACAUGACACGAGAAUUAUACAUUUAAAAAUAA
Non-coding RNA from Plutella xylostella (diamondback moth), 1274 nucleotides. The record is from RefSeq and is a predicted model, not a curated record. NCBI's taxonomy places the organism in Eukaryota, Metazoa, Arthropoda, Insecta, Lepidoptera, Plutellidae.